GACGAACGCUGGCGGCGUGCUUAACACAUGCAAGUCGAACGGUAAGGCCCUUCGGGGUACACGAGUGGCGAACGGGUGAGUAACACGUGGGUGAUCUGCCCUGCACUUCGGGAUAAGCCUGGGAAACUGGGUCUAAUACCGGAUAGGACCACUGCCUGCAUGGGUGGUGGUGGAAAGCUUUUGCGGUGUGGGAUGGGCUCGCGGCCUAUCAGCUUGUUGGUGGGGUGAUGGCCUACCAAGGAGACGACGGGUAGCCGGCCUGAGGGGGUGACCGGCCAACAUGCGAGUGAGAUACGGCCCAGUGGCCUACGGGAGGCAGAAGUGGGGAAUAUUGCACAACGCGCGCAAGCCUAAUGCAGCGACGCCGCGUGAGGGAUGACGGCCUUCGGGUUGUAAGCCUCUUUCAGCACCGACGAAGCGCAAGUGACGGUAGGUGCAGAAGAAGGACCGGCAAACUACGUGCCAGCAGCCGCCGGAA
RNAcentral lists this ribosomal RNA (478 nucleotides) under uncultured bacterium. RNAcentral's name for it is "partial 16S ribosomal RNA". It matches the Rfam family "Bacterial small subunit ribosomal RNA", at positions 28 to 523 of the family's 1533-position model. The record is from RNAcentral.